GAUGAACGCUGGCGGCGUGCCUAAUACAUGCAAGUCGAGCGAACAGACGAGGAGCUUGCUCCUCUGACGUUAGCGGCGGACGGGUGAGUAACACGUGGAUAACCUACCUAUAAGACUGGGAUAACUUCGGGAAACCGGAGCUAAUACCGGAUAAUAUAUUGAACCGCAUGGUUCAAUAGUGAAAGACGGUUUUGCUGUCACUUAUAGAUGGAUCCGCGCCGCAUUAGCUAGUUGGUAAGGUAACGGCUUACCAAGGCAACGAUGCGUAGCCGACCUGAGAGGGUGAUCGGCCGCACUGGAACUGGGACACGGUCCAGACUCCUACGGGAGGCAGCAGUAGGGAAUCUUCCGCAAUGGGCGAAAGCCUGACGGAGCAACGCCGCGUGAGUGAUGAAGGUCUUCGGAUCGUAAAACUCUGUUAUUAGGGAAGAACAAAUGUGUAAGUAACUAUGCACGUCUUGACGGUACCUAAUCAGAAAGCCACGGCUAACUACGUG
This 497-nucleotide ribosomal RNA is filed under the name uncultured bacterium. RNAcentral's name for it is "partial 16S ribosomal RNA". It matches the Rfam family "Bacterial small subunit ribosomal RNA", at positions 28 to 507 of the family's 1533-position model. The record is from RNAcentral.